This 884-nucleotide long non-coding RNA is filed under the name Rattus norvegicus (Norway rat). Its description in RNAcentral is "long non-coding RNA NONRATT011757". Lineage: Eukaryota; Metazoa; Chordata; Mammalia; Rodentia; Muridae. The record is from RNAcentral.
AUUCCCCGGAACAACCGCAACCCACAGUGCUGGGCGAUUUCUGGUCUAGUCUAAGGAGGUUUACACCUCAGCUAGAAGAUUCUAUCCCCAACGCCUGUGCUUGCCUGACGGGUGAGUGCGCCCUGACCUAUCCUUUGCUGGUGAACCUGUGAACCGAUGUCCGGGAGCCCAGAGCUAGGGGAACUGAGUGAACUCGAGUCUGAGUGUAGGUAUGGAUGUCCCUGAACAUGCCGGAGACCCUUAUGGCCUUAUUUAUCCUGAGGGUCCAGAGAGAGAUGACAGUUCUCAGGACCUCAGCCACCCGUCACUCGGUCCUUCCCCCUACUUCGCUCCAUGGUUGUGGUGAGAGGAUUUCAGUUCUUGGCCAACGACGCUUCCUUCAGUGUAAGGCAUCUUAAAGCUGGAAAGUCACCUGGGGAACUGCACCAGAGAAAGCCCUGCGUCUGUAGACUCAGCACCAGUUGCUCAGAUGGUGAAAGAACAGAGAACUUUUAGCAGCUUCAGAUGUGUUUCCAGCAACUGCAAUGACUUCUCUCCAAAGGAAAGGACCGCAAACAAGGAUUCUUAGCACUGGAGAAGAGGAGAAGCUGAAAAGAGACCAAGCUUUGGUGUCUGCUUUUAAACAGCAAAAACUGGAAAAAGAGGCUCAGAAAAACUGGGACCUUUUUUACAAAAGAAACAGUACCAAUUUUUUCAAGGACAGACACUGGACUACCAGAGAGUUUGAGGAGCUAAGAUCAUGUCGGGAGUAUGAAGGUCAAAAAUUGACUUUGUUGGAAGCCGGAUGUGGGGUUGGGAACUGUUUAUUCCCACUUUUAGAAGAAGACUCGAAUAUCUUUGCCUAUGCCUGUGAUUUUUCUCCCAGGGCAGUUGACUACGUGAAG